Molecule: long non-coding RNA, 1377 nt
Organism: Oncorhynchus keta (chum salmon)
Lineage: Eukaryota; Metazoa; Chordata; Actinopteri; Salmoniformes; Salmonidae
Exons: 3
Source: RefSeq, a predicted model, not a curated record
CCACGCAGUUGCACCAGGGAAAUGUUAACCAAACAGAUCUUUUUUGCAGGUACUCUGUUUCCCCACAUUUAUUGAUAAAUUAAUUUCCCAUCAUGAUAAUGUAGCCCCCUUCCCCAAUCAAAUUCCUUCCAUUGAUACUACACAAAGAAACAGACAAAUACAACUUUUUACUAUAAUCUGGCAACCCUCAUAAAAUCCGACAUAGCACAAGUAUCCCAAAGUAUUAAGCGAAAACAAAAAUAGAAAACAGCAUUGGCAUCAAACAAAAACAAAAAAAGUAAGGCUACUAUUAUAUGACAAGUAUUUCGGUGACAACCUGGUUUAUUACUAAUAUUAGGUUGCUAACACUUUUUAAAAAUGUUUAUAAAUAAAUGUUGGACUCAAAAAAAGGCAGUGUAGAACCCCAUUACCCAAAAUGCAUUGCUCCAAUAAAUUUCAUAAGAUUGUUCUGAAGUUUCCCCCCAAAAUGUAUUUUCCUAUGAAUAAAGUCAUACAUUUUUUUUCUUCUACGAAUUAAGUCGCAAAAAAAUUUGUAUUGUCACACGAAUUAAGCCACACAAAAACGCAAAAUACGCACGAAAUCUGCGGAAAUACUUUUAAUACGUAUUUGCACAAAUUGAGUGUGAGAUUGUGCUGAUGUCACAGACAUAUUUAGGAAAUUUAACGAAUUGAACGCAAGCAUGCAGGGGAAAUACAAAAACAUUCUACAGAUGAGUGACCGAAUCAGUUGAUUCAGAGGAAAUAAUUCUUACUCGAGAGAGACUUUCAAAACCGAACUAAGACCCCUUCCUUCUGCUGUGCAUGUUUCUAACAGAAAACAUCUUCUGUAAGUGUCUCACACGAGUGUUGACUGUUCACCUUCAACAUUUGGAAUAAAUACCCUGCCGUCUCCCUGAGAGAUUAUGUGCGCACUGUCGAGUACACCCGUGAUUUUGAGAAGCUCCGACGCCACAUGAAUCAAGCACACCAAUCUCAUUAGUGGUGGGACAUUAUGUCAGAUUAAUUUGCAAUUGACUGCCAUAGCCCCACAUUAAAAGUAUAUCAUGUACCUUGCCACACCACAGGUGAAUCCCUGACUGGCUCCUCAGCAGAAAGACAUCGUUGGAGUUGAGCGAGGCUGCCAGGGCAGGCACCUCGAUGGCUUUGGUGUUGGAGGCGUCAGAACCGCGGACCUGGAACAAUCUGACGGGUGGCUCUGGGUCAGACACGCCUUUUCUGGAGAACACUGGAUUAUUGACCUCUGGCUGCUCUGACCCUGAGACUGACUGCCAUUCUGGACCUUUUAAACCCUAUCUGGAUUAAUGACAUCGUUGACCUGUCUUUGACCUGUCUUUUUGCAUGCCCAUGUAUUAAUAAUAAACAUUUUUUUUACUUUGA